This 66-nucleotide transfer RNA is filed under the name Otomys irroratus (Vlei rat). Its description in RNAcentral is "tRNA-Cys". The record is from RNAcentral. Lineage: Eukaryota; Metazoa; Chordata; Mammalia; Rodentia; Muridae.
GGCCUUGAGGUGAUAUUCAUGUCGAAUUGCAAAUUCGAAGGUGUAGAUAAAUUUCUACUAAGGCUU